CCUACGGGCGGCAGCAGUCGGGAAUAUUGCGCAAUGGAGGAAACUCUGACGCAGUGACGCCGCGUGCAGGAAGAAGGUUUUCGGAUUGUAAACUGCUUUAGACAGGGAAGAAACAAGACAGUACCUGUAAAAUAAGCUCCGGCUAACUACGUGCCAGCAGCCGCGGUAAUACGUAGGGAGCAAGCGUUAUCCGGAUUUAUUGGGUGUAAAGGGUGCGUAGACGGGAAGUCAAGUUGGUUGUGAAAUCCCGGGGCUUAACCCCGGAACUGCUUUGGAAACUGUGCGGCUGGAGUGCAGGAGGGGUAAGCGGAAUUCCUAGUGUAGCGGUGAAAUGCGUAGAUAUUAGGAGGAACACCGGUGGCGAAGGCGGCUUACUGGACUGUAACUGACGUUGAGGCUCGAAAGCGUGGGGAGCAAACAGGAUUAGAUACCCUGGUAGUC
This 441-nucleotide ribosomal RNA is filed under the name uncultured bacterium. RNAcentral describes it as "partial 16S ribosomal RNA". It matches the Rfam family "Bacterial small subunit ribosomal RNA", at positions 338 to 795 of the family's 1533-position model. The record is from RNAcentral.